RNAcentral lists this ribosomal RNA (171 nucleotides) under uncultured Tepidimonas sp. Its description in RNAcentral is "partial 16S ribosomal RNA". It matches the Rfam family "Bacterial small subunit ribosomal RNA", at positions 362 to 525 of the family's 1533-position model. Lineage: Bacteria; Pseudomonadati; Pseudomonadota; Betaproteobacteria; Burkholderiales. The record is from RNAcentral.
UUUUGGACAAUGGGCGCAAGCCUGAUCCAGCAAUGCCGCGUGCGGGAAGAAGGCCUUCGGGUUGUAAACCGCUUUUGUACGGAACGAAAAGGCUCUGGCUAAUACCUGGGGCUGAUGACGGUACCGUAAGAAUAAGCACCGGCUAACUACGUGCCAGCAGCCGCGGUAAUA